AGUGAACGCUGGCGGUAGGCCUAACACAUGCAAGUCGAACGGCAGCACAGUAAGAGCUUGCUCUUACGGGUGGCGAGUGGCGGACGGGUGAGGAAUACAUCGGAAUCUACUUUUUCGUGGGGGAUAACGUAGGGAAACUUACGCUAAUACCGCAUACGACCUACGGGUGAAAGCAGGGGAUCUUCGGACCUUGCGCGAUUGAUUGAGCAGAUGUCGGAUUAGCUAGUUGGCGGGGUAAAGGCCCACCAAGGCGACGAUCCGUAGCUGGUCUGAGAGGACGAUCAGCCACACUAGAACUGCGACACGGUCCAGACUCCUACGGGAGGCAGCAGUGGGGAAUAUUGGACAAUGGGCGCAAGCCUGAUCCAGCCAUACCGCGUGGGUGAAGAAGGCCUUCGGGUUGUAAAGCCCUUUUGUUGGGAAAGAAAAGCAGCAGGUUAAUACCCCGCUGUUCUGACGGUACCCAAAGAAUAAGCACCGGCUAACUUCGUG
Molecule: ribosomal RNA, 492 nt
Filed under: uncultured bacterium
Lineage: Bacteria
Description: partial 16S ribosomal RNA
Rfam family: Bacterial small subunit ribosomal RNA
Source: RNAcentral